GAAUUUUGGACAAUGGGGGCAACCCUGAUCCAGCCAUCCCGCGUGUGCGAUGAAGGCCUUCGGGUUGUAAAGCACUUUUGGCAGGGAAGAACAGGCUCUGGCUAAUACCUGGAGCUGCUGACGGUACCUGCAGAAUAAGCACCGGCUAACUACGUGCCAGCAGCCGCGGUAAUACGGAGGGUGAAAGCUGUAAUCGGAAUUCCUGGGCGUAAAGCGUGCGCAGGCGGUUCGGCAAGAAGGAUGUGAAAUCCCAGGGCUUAACCUUGGAACUGCAUUCUUAACCGCCGGGAUAGAGUAUGUCAGAGGGGGGUAGAAUUCCGCGUGUAGCAGUGAAAUGCGUAGAGAUGCGGAGGAAUACCGAUGGCGAAGGCAGCCCCCUGGGAUAAUACUGACGCUCAUGCACGAAAGCGUGGGGAGCAAAC
This 422-nucleotide ribosomal RNA is filed under the name uncultured bacterium. RNAcentral's name for it is "bacterial SSU rRNA". It matches the Rfam family "Bacterial small subunit ribosomal RNA", at positions 359 to 773 of the family's 1533-position model. The record is from RNAcentral.